Molecule: ribosomal RNA, 775 nt
Filed under: uncultured Neocallimastigales
Lineage: Eukaryota; Fungi; Neocallimastigomycota; Neocallimastigomycetes; Neocallimastigales
Description: partial large subunit ribosomal RNA
Rfam family: Eukaryotic large subunit ribosomal RNA
Source: RNAcentral
UGUACACGCUGUGACUAGCAUAUCAAUAAGCGGAGGAAAAGAAACUAACAAGGAUUCCCCUAGUAACGGCGAGUGAAGCGGGAAGAGCUCAAAUUUGAAAUCUUAAAGGGUUUCCCUUUACGAAUUGUAGUUUAAAGAAGUGUUUUCUGUUGAGGUUUUGGUGAAAGUUCUUUGGAAUAGGACAUCAUAGAGGGUGAGAAUCCCGUAUUUGACCUUUACUUUCAACUUUGUGAUACACUUUCAAAGAGUCGGAUUGUUUGGGAAUGCAGUCCAAAAUGGGUGGUAAAUUUCAUCUAAAGCUAAAUAUUGGCGAGAGACCGAUAGCGAACAAGUACCGUGAGGGAAAGAUGAAAAGAACUUUGAAAAGAGAGUUAAACAGUACGUGAAAUUGUCAAAAGGGAAGCGUUUGACACCAGUGUUGUUUUUCUGAAAAUCAAUUAAAGAACUGUUUAUGCUAAGUUGUUUAGACUUUAUCAGCUAUCUGUUUAGUUUUGAGCUUUUCUUUAAUGCACUUUUCAGUUAACAAGUCAACAUCAAUUUCUUUUGCUGUAAAAAAGCUUGAGGAAGGUGGCUUGAGAUUCGUCUUAAGUGUUUAUAGCCUCUUGCCUAUGCAGUCGGAGAGAUUGAGGUCUGCAGCGUAGAUCCUUCGGGGCUAAAUGCAUUUGUGCUAAGUUAUAGCAUUUUAUAGACAACUUGUUGACUAUGAUUUGUCUUGUAGCUUACUCGCUUAUGUUAUUUUACCUACGCUUAGGAUGUUGAAGAUGUAGCACAUCAU